CGGUCGGCCAUUUUGUGGAGUCAAAAUUGUCAAAGACCAACUCGUCCAAUCCAAGGCAACGUGUCCCUUUAAGCAUUUAGAUGUCGUGGAAAUAAUAUACAGAGGCCUUGAUUGUUUUCGACUCUUUGGAAUGUGCCUACCGGAACGCUUUCCUUGUUUCUUUAUUUCGCUAAGUUAAAAUUAAAACCAACCCAUUUAAAGUUCAGUUUUCAAAAUGGUGCAAUUUUAAAGCAGAAGAAAUUGAAUUUAUUUUGUUUCAUAUAAAUGUUGUUUAGUCGUCUAUUAAGGCAUAUUUUCAAAUGAUUUAUUUUGUUUUAUAUCUACUUCCUUUGAUUUGCAGCAAAUACAAUUAAUAAAAGCUUUAAUUUAUCUCAUAACGACAGUCUAUCUUUGCACUCAAAAAUUAAAAAUGUGAGGUAUUGUAAAUAAUUAUAAUCCAAAGUAUUUAUUGAACAAUAUAUUUAUGUAUUAAUAAAUAAUAAUAUGCCUAAUUUAUAUAAUAUUCCACCAUUCUAAUUCAAUACAAGUAACAGUACGCAGUUUAAAUAUGGAAGUAAAGUCACUGUGUCAGUCUUUUCCAAACAUUAAGUGAUUGCCUUUUUAUUGAUUUGUAUGUUUAGAUUCUAGUCUCCGUGUUUAGAGAUUAAAGUUGUAUGUGAAGUAACUUUGUUGAACACUAUUUAAUCGAAAGGCCUUAACGUUCAGACGUUUAUUAAGGCGGUUCCGCCCAGUACUAAAGCCUCAAGUAGAGUUGAAUAUAUUUGGUGGCCACAAAUAUUAAUAACUGUAGAAUAUAAACUAGAUGUAAGACUUAUAAUAGUAUAAUGUUUAUAUUUGUUCUUAUCGGAGUUGUUUGUGUGUACUCGUUACAAUUUCUCUCUUCGGUAAGCCUACAUAUAGAAUUGAUUGUUAUGUGUGUUAUAACUGUGAUAGCUGCAUCGAAAUUUGUUACACAUUAAAUUUAUUGCGUAUACAUUUUUUAUUUAUUUUAUUUUUAUGAUAAUCGUCAAUAAGACAAAUCGGUUAAUAAAUAAAUAAAUAUGAAAAAACAGAAAACUUACUCUGUUAAAACCGCACUAAGUUUGUUCUAAGUUAUAUUCGAUUCCCCCUUUAAAAUUUGUGGUGCUUACUGCAUGCAUUAGCAGUGUUGUAUAAUGUCCUUUUGGAUUUUUUUUUAUAAAUUAUGUAGGGUACACCACUGGAACACAAACAAAUUGGCAGGGGAACCCGGGUGGACAUUAAUUUUGCCAGUUUGCCUUUUGCGCCCUCAAUAGUUUAUAAUGCGCCAGUCAACAAUCUAUGGCGGAAUAUUUAAUGUCAACAAAAUCUCCUAAACUUCUUCUCGCAAUAUCUCCUUCAAGAGCCUCAUUAAAUGGCCCAUGAACUGGUCAUCAAUAGCGGAAGUAUCACUCCAUGUUUUAAAGGUUUUGGUAUACCUGGCAAUUAAAGGCCAUUCAUCUUCAGAAUAUCUUUCAUCAAUAAAUCCUGAUACCAUGCUAUGCUCUCAUGAUAAAAGAUUGGAGUCAUCCCAAUUGUGGCUCUCUUGAAUCCAACAAAGAAAGGAACACUUUGUGGACCCUCAACCAUUGGAGCCUACCUCACCUGACAUUGUGUACAAGUCUUUGCUGAUUUGAGGUUGUAGAUUAUUGUACAAGAGACACUGCUACAGUUUGUCAUCCCUCUUAACUCUUGUGGAGUAGUCUUGGCUCAAGACGCUCAUGUUGUUGAUUAUAUUUAAAGAUCUCUUGAGUGGUCGAUAGGUAAGGGCACCGCUAUCAACCACAAAUCAUGGGAUGGAGUAUGGGAAGAUAUUUAUAAAGUGAGUCUUGAGCCAAGACUAAUGUUGACUCUGAAUACUAAAGGAUCUUGGCAAUCCAGCUUUGAGGGAGUACUCUUUGAAUUAGACCUGAUUCCUACUGUGACAGUAAUAUUCUGAUUCCUACAUGGACAGCGACUUUUGGAUUCUUACAUGGACAGCAAGAUUUGGAUUCCCACAUGGACAGCAACUGUUGGAUUCUGUAUACUUUGACAUAGCAACAUUUGGAUUCCUAUAUGGACAGCAACAUCUCAUUCCUACGUGGACAGCAACAUUUGGAUUCAUGGGCAGCAAAGUCUGAUUCCUAGCAACAUCUGAUUCUGACAUGGACAGCACAACUUGUGUCCCACAUGGACAAUUUUUAACACAUAUCUGUGUAAACUAGUAAAGGGAAUCUUAGUCGAAAAAAAACCAAAAACAAUUUGAGACCAAUAUGAUUCAAUUAAAGGCGCUGCAGCUCAUUUCACAAACUUAGGAUUUCAUCCAACUAAAGAUGGGUUUAAUCCGUCCUACGUCUUUAGAUACAAAACUGAACUCAUCCCAACUCCUGGGAUUAAUCCUAAGUUAGAUAGAGUUUGGUGAAAUUGACCACUGGAUGCAUAAAAUAACAAAUCUGUAAAAAUUUGGCCUUAAUUGGUCGUCAAAGUUUCAAGAAAAUAAUGACAGAAAAAAACAAAUGCCCCUUAUUGCAUGCUUUAAUUUUGUGUGCUUGUGAAUGCAUAAAAGGCUGCAGUCCUGCUGAAGCCUUUUAUUACUUGAGAGAGAAAUUACCUCAUUUGCAAUAACUACUCCAUUGCUCGUUCGUAAAUACCGAGUCAGUUUUUAUGCUAUCAAUUAUUUCCGUUAUGUCCAGUGCCCUAAAAAAGCCAGAAUGAUAAUCAUACAUAUCCAUUAUCCAGGAAUGACUGUUAUCAUGAUCAGCUUAAUGGAUAAUUUUAAAGGCAGUGGACACUAUUGGUAAUUACUCAAAAUAUUUAUCAUCAUAAAACCUUUCUUGAU
This is a long non-coding RNA of Asterias rubens (European starfish), 2815 nucleotides long. RefSeq lists it as uncharacterized. NCBI's taxonomy places the organism in Eukaryota, Metazoa, Echinodermata, Asteroidea, Forcipulatida, Asteriidae. The transcript has 3 exons. The record is from RefSeq and is a predicted model, not a curated record.